RNAcentral lists this ribosomal RNA (93 nucleotides) under uncultured bacterium. RNAcentral describes it as "partial 16S ribosomal RNA". It matches the Rfam family "Bacterial small subunit ribosomal RNA", at positions 1384 to 1482 of the family's 1533-position model. The record is from RNAcentral.
UACACACCGCCCGUCACACCAUGGGAGUGGGUUUCACCUUAAGUGACUGCGCUAAUCUGGCAGGUCACCACGGUGGGAUUCAUGACUGGGGUG